AACAGUCUAAGACAGGUUUAUUUUGGAGAAUAAACCUGAGAGGGGCUUCUGCCCGAUUUCGGUCAGGAGCCUUUUCUCUUGGAGACUAAGGGUAUUUAAGAGUUCCGGGAAGGGGAGCUUAUUGCAGGCUAGGAAUGUUUCUGUGUGGAGGAGAGUCUUAUUGCAGGACUGGAGUGUCUCUGGUCGGAAGGGAGGUUAUCUCGGGGUUGGCAUGUCUCUGGUCAGAGGUUUCAUUUGUGAUUUAAGGUCACACUGACAUUAGCCAUUAGGCUGAUGUUUUGGGGCUGGAUUUAGGCAGUUUUGAAUCAAGUAGAACUCACAGGGGCGAUGCUUGUCUAAGAUGAUGAUGCUCCUGCUCCGUCAGUCCAGACUGGCGCCAUUGUCUCCCUGAUGGUAAAUCUAGUAUGGGUCUCUGUGGGGAAAUGCAUCAUUGGCCACUGGAUUUUGUACAGGGGCUUGAUUAUGGAGUUCAUCUGCGUGGGUUUCAGCUGAACGCCAGGGGCGCCCUUUUCAUCAGGAGUGAGGGUGGAGAUUAGAAUGAUAUAAAUGUCAUGCCAUGUUAAAUUAAAGGACUCAGUAAUGUGCAGGAAUUCCUUGCGAUAAUGAGAGGGAUUUUCAGAGGAAGAUCCCAGAUGCUGUUGGAUCUGCGACAAAUCAGACGUAGUGAAAGGGCCAUGAACACGAGCACUGCCUUCAACCCCAGCCACUCCCAGAAGAGGAAGAAUGGCAGAGGUGGUUUGACUGGCUGGCGUUUCCUUUGCCUUUAAUGUCCAAAUACAAGGCUGGGCCCACCAGCCCCCAAGGGGCAUCCAGGAGGGGCCCCACCCGAUCCCCACGGACCAUGUUUGAGAGAGAGGCUGGCACGGCCCCUUUCUAGAGGCCAUUCUUAGCUCCGGCUGCUGCUGCCCUUCUUCGUGCCCAAGUGGCCUCUGGCUGGGCCCCAGUCUUUGGCUUCCAGGGCUUCGGCUGCAGCUGGACUGUGGUUCCUGGACUUCCUCACCCACCCUCACCACAGGAACAGGAGGGGGUGACCAUCGAGAUCUCCGGUGUGCACUGAGCAUCCUGGGGAGGGGGUGACCAUCGAGAUCUCCGGUGUGCACUGACCAUCCUGGGGAGGGGGUGACCAUCGAGAUCUCCGGUGUGCACUGACCAUCCUGGGGAGGGGGUGACCAUCGAGAUCUCCGGUGUGCACUGAGCAUCCUGGGGAGGGGGUGACCAUCGAGAUCUCCGGUGUGCACUGAGCAUCCUGGGGAGGGGGUGACCAUCGAGAUCUCCGGUGUGCACUGAGCAUCCUGGGGAGGGGAUGACCAUCGAGAUCUCCGGUGUGCACUGACCAUCCUGGGGAGGGGGUGACCAUCGAGAUCUCCGGUGUGCACUGACCAUCCUGGGGAGGGGGUGACCAUCGAGAUCUCCAGUGUGCACUGACCAUCCUGGGGAGGGGGUGACCAUCGAGAUCUCCGGUGUGCACUGACCAUCCUGGGGAGGGGGUGACCAUCGAGAUCUCCAGUGUGCACUGAAUAUCCUGGGGAGGGGGUGACCAUCGAGGCUUCCACUGGCAGGCUGCUCCCUGUCUGUCCGUCUCCCUUCCUUUGUGUCCUCAUUCAAUCCCUUACAAGGAUCCUGGCCUCAAGCCCCCCAAGGGAAGGGGGCAGCCCCUCAUCAACUCACUGUGCCAGAUACAGCUGCAGUGGAACAGAGGCCUGUGCUGAGGCAACGAGGUGGGGCUGAGCUCCCGAAGGCAGGGCCUUCCCCGACUCUCCCCCUGGCCCCUGCCCGGGGUCAUGGCUGAGCUCCCGAAGGCAGGGCCUUCCCCGACUCUCCCCCUGGCCCCUGCCCAGUGUCAUGGCCUCCCCUCCAGCAUGUGCUCAUGUUCACACACACCUGGGGCCAUCACCUGUGAUGAGGCUUGGCAGUUGUUAUUGUAAUAUUUGACUUUUAACAACAGGCAGAUUACCUGGGCAGGCCUGAUGGAGUCAAAUGACAUCUUUAAAAAGAGGUUCUCCAUACCAGAAGAUUCUUCUGCCACCCUGAGGUCGGCUGCCAGGUUGGAGGGGCCACGGGGCUGGGACUUGGUGCCUUGAGGUGUGGCAGCGGCCACAGCAUCAGCCAGCAAGGACACGGAGCCUCUGUCCUGCGGCCACACGAACAGCAUUCUGCUGGCGGCCCGUGAGUCCCCACACAGAGGUCCCAGCCCGGGCUGUACUGAAUCCCCACCCAAAGACACUGCGAGGCGGCAAAUGGUGUCGUUUCAAGCCACUAUGCCUGUGGUCAUUUGUUAUGCAGAAGAAGAAAAUUAAUUUUUUUUACAAUAAAAAUUUUGGAAUUCAGUUUCCUCCAUCCCUGGCCCUGGCCCAAACUGGGAGGGAGCAAGAGAUGAAAGAAUGGCUGGGACACAGCCUGCCUGGGCAGCCUCAGGACAGCGCUAAGAUCCGCAGCUUUCGAGCUGCUUCCACCUGUGCUCCCUGUCUCGUUGCCGGCCAUGAGCUAUAUGGGACUGCUCUCCUGGGUGGUUCUCGGGCAGGCUCCGGGUUCCUGGGAUACCUGCUCCUCCGCUGGGUCCUGGGCGGUUCUCAGGCUAGCUCCGGGUUCCUGGGAUACCUGCUCCUCCGCCAGGCACUGUGACCUUGGCUCGCUCUCAGCCUUCAGGAUUCACGCAGUGGACCAAAGCCCUAAGUAACCUGGUAGGGAACUCACUGCACCACAGUAUCCUGUUGAAUAAGUUUUGAGGAAUUUCUGACCCCUUCAAAGCUGUACCCAAUAUUGGUGCGAGGCGGGGCAGAUGCAUGCACAUUUCUUAUUUUGGAGCGGGUGGAACACAUUCCUGCGAUUCUCUGAAGAGCCCCGGGAUGAGAGGACAUGUCACCUGGAGAGCGCUCGGGGCAAGAGCUGCACAAAAAAGCAAAGCCCAGAACUGACCCUGUGGGCCCUGGAGUCUCCUGAACCCACCACAGUUCUGCCCUGGAGCCUGGCGGCAGCUGGGCCUGGGAAACAAAUUAGAGACCGGCUUGUGCAAGCCCUCUCUUCUCAGGCUCUGCAGACACAGGCGGAGGUCCCAGGGUGCAAGCAGUACUGACAGGCUCAGAUAUUCUGUGUUUUUUUCCUUCUAGGCACAACUGUCUUAAUAUUGGCAACCUGACAAUUCCUCAUGCUCCUGACUGUUUCCUUCUCUGCCUGUCUUAAUUGACGUGGUUUACAGAAAAUAAAUUACAUGAACUGAAUAUUUUGCACUAUUGUAGAAGAUAAAUUGAUCUAAUUAUU
RNAcentral lists this long non-coding RNA (3258 nucleotides) under Homo sapiens (human). RNAcentral's name for it is "non-protein coding lnc-DLGAP2-2:5". Lineage: Eukaryota; Metazoa; Chordata; Mammalia; Primates; Hominidae. The record is from RNAcentral.